CCUGGGCUCGGUGGCGCGUGCUUGUAGUCCCAGCUACUCGGGAGGCUGAGGCUGGAGGAUCGCUGGAGCCCAGGAGUUCUGGGGCUGUAGUGCGCUAUGCUGAUCAGGUGUCCACACUAAGGUCAGCAUCAGUAUGGUGACCUCCUAGGAGCGAGGGACCACCAGGUUGCCUAAGGAGGGGUGAACCGGCCCAAGUCGGAAACGGAGCAGGUCAAAACUCCCGUGCUGAUCAGUAGUGAGAUCGUGCCUGUUAAUAGCCACUGCACUCCAGCCUGGGCAACAUAGCAAGACUCCGUUUCU
Molecule: signal recognition particle RNA, 300 nt
Filed under: Cebus imitator (Panamanian white-faced capuchin)
Lineage: Eukaryota; Metazoa; Chordata; Mammalia; Primates; Cebidae
Description: Metazoan signal recognition particle RNA (ENSCCAG00000014958.1)
Rfam family: Metazoan signal recognition particle RNA
About the family: The signal recognition particle (SRP) is a universally conserved ribonucleoprotein. It is involved in the co-translational targeting of proteins to membranes. The eukaryotic SRP consists of a 300-nucleotide 7S RNA and six proteins: SRPs 72, 68, 54, 19, 14, and 9.
Source: RNAcentral